GGGGCUAUGGCCAAAUUGGAAAGGCGUUGGACUACGAAUCCAGAGAUUGCAGGUUCGAGCCCUGCUAGCCUCG
Molecule: transfer RNA, 73 nt
Organism: Microsporidia sp.
Lineage: Eukaryota; Fungi; Microsporidia
Rfam family: tRNA
About the family: Transfer RNA (tRNA) molecules are approximately 80 nucleotides in length. Their secondary structure includes four short double-helical elements and three loops (D, anti-codon, and T loops).
Source: Rfam